AUUCGUAUCUUGAUUGUGGUCCAUUAAAAAGGAGAUGAAAGAAAUAAUACAUUAAAGAGGAAGCACUCAGUACGCUGACAUAUAGCGUAGCUUCUUUAUUUCUUUUUAUUCUUUAUGAUCAGAUUACGUCUGAAUUCUAAUGAAAUCUUUCGUUUAAAGGUUAAGUGAGUUAUAUUUAUGGAGUGAAAUAAAAAAAAGAAAGACGAAUAGCGGUAAAACUCCAUCUGAUAUUGUUUUGAGAACUGUUAGAGCAGUGAAAAUACAUAAUUUGUCCAUCGACAAGCCGCUUUAGAAUAAAAUGCGAAUUACCGUACUUUAUAUCGUUACUGCAAGAGGAUUCCAGAAGAGGAUUAUUUACAUAAAAACGUUGUUCCAACAAUUCAUUCUUUCUCCUAAAGAAAUCAGAAUUUUCGCUUAUAAUCUAGCCUGCUAUAACUCAAUUGAAAUGCCUCCGUCUUGGUAUAUAAAUAAAAUGGCAGGAAAGGAUUGGUUUUAUGCAGUUACAGUAAACUUUCGAUUCGAAAACCAGAAGCAACACUUAAAGCAAGAAUUACCUGCAGCUUCAAUAAAGCUAAUAUUUCCCCUCUUUUACACAAAUUUGAAAAAGAUUUUGUCACAUCACUAUUUUAAUCCUUAAGACAUGGAAUAUAGAUGAAAUAGGAGUUACAACAGUUCAGAUACCAGAUAGAAUAUUUACUCAGGAAAGCAACAUUGCUACAAGGAAAUUCAUCUGGAUAAAGUGGUACUGCAAAUAAAUUAGGUUGGAUGCAAAAAAAAGAUUUUGAACAAUUUUUGAGAGACUUUCAUAAUUAUGCAAAAUGUAUAACUGAGAAACCAGUUUUAUUGCUAUUGGACAAUCACAAUUUGCAUCUCAAUAUUGAAGGAAUAAAUUAUGCAAAACAAAACAGAAUUGUAAUGUUAUUUUUUCCACCGUAUUGUUCGCAUCAGUUGCGACUAUUAGAAUAGUAUAUAGAUCAUUAAAAAAAUACAUCAACUCUGUUUGUGAUCCAUGGAUGUUAAACCAUCCUGAUCGCAACAUAUCUAUUUAUAAUAUUCCCACAGUUGCUUAUCCACUUGCUAUGACAUCAGCAACUAUUCAAGCAGGUUUUAAACGCAUUGACAUAUUUUACUUUAAUAAGGAAAUUUUUAUGAACUUUGCUUCAAGUUAAAUUACAGAUAGGCUACUUUCUGAGGAAAAUAGGUUAGUAUAAAAUAUUAAUAAUGUGGUAUUAAUAUAAUUAGUGUAAAGUUAAUGUAAUGAUACAAUUUCAGUAAUAAUAGUGAACAGCAAGCUAUAAGAAGAAGUACAGAAAACAUGAUGGAAAUAAGCAAUCCUUCAAGAAAUAUCUGUCAACCAUCUAUUCUGAAUCAAGCCAAGGUUUAACUCCAGAAGAUAUUUGUCCUUUUCCUAAAGCUAAUCCACGGAAGAAUUCCCGACAAAUGGCAAAAAAAACGAAAGAUAGCUAUUCUUGCUAAUAUACAAAUAAAAGCAAAACUUGAGAAUAAAA
Atta colombica is the source of this 1508-nucleotide long non-coding RNA. RefSeq lists it as uncharacterized. The record is from RefSeq and is a predicted model, not a curated record. The transcript is spliced from 3 exons. Lineage: Eukaryota; Metazoa; Arthropoda; Insecta; Hymenoptera; Formicidae.